GUCAUCACCAAUUUAUAAUAAUGUUAGCAGACAAUGCCGCGCAAAGUUCAAAUUGCGCCAAAAUCUGGUCUGAAGAAAGAGUGCAUUCUGCUUGACAAUCGUGUGUAUGGAUUCAGUAUGGAGAUCAAGAUCGAACAAACUGGCAAUAUUUUGAUGGGUGCUUAUUAAAGAUUGAUGUGUAAUCAGUUAGGUAUAAUAGUCAAAAAGCUGUAGGUAUCGCACCACUUAAUCAGUUAUUAUUUGCUUUAGUAUACAGUAUGUUAGAUACGCCGGGUACCACGGCUUUCAAGCAGGGCUAUCACAACCGCGAGUUGAUUGUAAUAUAUUCAUUAUAAUAUGCUCAUUUCUAU
Non-coding RNA from Paramuricea clavata, 350 nucleotides. The record is from the annotation of a GenBank genome assembly. NCBI's taxonomy places the organism in Eukaryota, Metazoa, Cnidaria, Anthozoa, Malacalcyonacea, Plexauridae.